UGAAACAACCCAGUAAAGCCUAAAAAAGCAGAGAUCAAAACUCGUACCUUUUGCAUCAUGAUUUAGCCAGUAACCCCAAGCAAAGAGAACUUUAGUUUGGCCCCCCGAAACUAAGUGAGCUACUCCAGGACAGCCUAUUGUAGGGCGAACCCGUCUCUGUGGCAAAAGAGUGGGAAGAACUUUGAGUAGAGGUGACAAAUCUACCGAACUUAGUAAUAGCUGGUUGUCUGAGAAAUGGAUAGAAGUUCAGCCUCGCGGCUUCUUGCUUCAAAUUUCGUAUUAAACCUUAAUUAGAUUCAUAAAGAAACCGAGAGAGUUAAUCUUAGGGGGUACAGCCCCUCAGAUAAAGGACACAACCUUAACAGGUGGGUAAAGAUCAUAAUUAACCCAAGGUAAAGCACCCCGGUGGGCUUAAAAGCAGCCACCCAUGCAGAAAGCGUUAAAGCUCAGGUGCACCCAACCUUCCGUCGAUCCCGAUAACAUAAUCUCAACCCCCUCUAAAUAUCAGACUAUCCGCUGCAAACAGCGGAGAAAUAAUGCUAAUAUGAGUAAUAAGAGAGAACAAACUCUCUCCCUGCACAAGUGUAACUC
RNAcentral lists this ribosomal RNA (591 nucleotides) under Pagrus pagrus (common seabream). RNAcentral's name for it is "partial large subunit ribosomal RNA". It matches the Rfam family "Bacterial large subunit ribosomal RNA", at positions 566 to 1357 of the family's 2925-position model. The record is from RNAcentral. Lineage: Eukaryota; Metazoa; Chordata; Actinopteri; Spariformes; Sparidae.